Long non-coding RNA from Centruroides sculpturatus (bark scorpion), 1285 nucleotides. RefSeq lists it as uncharacterized. NCBI's taxonomy places the organism in Eukaryota, Metazoa, Arthropoda, Arachnida, Scorpiones, Buthidae. The transcript is spliced from 4 exons. The record is from RefSeq and is a predicted model, not a curated record.
CUCAACGUCAUUUGUAUGUCCUUGUACAGCGUCUCAUAUAAUAAUUAUAGAAAUGUUUUCUUCCUUUUUAACGGCUAAUUAAUCGCUUCAUCGUCUCAUAAAUGAUUUAUUAAAGAAUAUCCCUCAACUUUAAGAUUUAAUCUGAAUUGCAGACAAAUUCAUCUCCUAGAGAACCUCAUGACAUUGAAAAAUCCAUAAAUUUCCUUGUGUACAGACAGCAGAUAUUGUGUUCGGGAUAUUGACUUCAAUAAGCAGGCUUUACCCAAUUGAUCCGUUUAUACAGCCAAAGCCGUAUUUGAUUUCUAUAAAAUAAAUGUAAAAAUUAUUGGAAGUGAUUUGCAACCGUGUUCUGCUAUUUGAGAGACAUUUAGAACAAAUUAUUCGGUAUAUAAAAUGUUGCCAAACGACAUGUAAUAAAUAUCGAAUACUUUCUCUUAUUAAUUUCAUACUUCAUAAUAAAUUUUAAAUGGUAUAUCUUGUAUAAAUUCCAAUAAAUUUUAUUUUAAUCAUUCUUAGAAUAGUAUAAAAAAUAGAAUGUGAACUUAAUGAAAUGACUUUUCGAAAAUUUAGGCAAAUUAAAGUUUCACGAAAUCUAAUCAAGUCAUAAUUUAUUAGAUUAAAGUUGUUUAGUAAUUAUUUCAAUAUGUUGUUAGAAUAAAACUAUGAUUAUUCCCAGAAAUAUCAUAAAAAUAUUCAAAAAUUAACAAUACUGAUUUCAUUGUUUUAUUGACUUGAUUUUAUUAUUCGAUAACGCAUGUUUCAUAAUGUUAAAGACAAAGACAAAGAUUGCUGAUUCAGUAUUUAAAUGACAAUUCUUUGAAUAUUCUUGGGAGUUUCUCUAAUUUUAAUUUGUCUUCAGGCAAUUUCCAUUUGUUUUUACCAGAUAUGCUUAUUAUUUCAAUGAAAUAAACUAUUGUUUAACAAAUUAAUUAUAUUAUAACAUCGUUCUGCAAUCGGGCCCUACGGGAUUCUUAGAAAUUAGUUUUUUUAUUUUUUAUUUUGCAUAAAUUGAUAUGUAAAUCAUUAAAAGCCGUCUUGAAGUCUUGUUGAAUAUCUCAUGCUAAUAACACUGAAAAUUAAAUAAUAUAUACUAAUUUUUUCGGUAGGAGAUUAUGUUGAGUGCUGUUUCUUUGAUAUGUGACUUAUAUAUUUAGAUUAUUUUCCAUCCAUGAAUUCAAUUUAUAAAGUACGAAAACGAACUAUAAUUUUACUUUAUGCAAAUCAAUAUUGCAAUUUACUUUAUUCAUCCUUAUAAUGCCGCAAAUUAUCGCAAUAAUAUAAUCAA